This 433-nucleotide ribosomal RNA is filed under the name uncultured bacterium. RNAcentral describes it as "partial 16S ribosomal RNA". It matches the Rfam family "Bacterial small subunit ribosomal RNA", at positions 29 to 507 of the family's 1533-position model. The record is from RNAcentral.
AACGAACGCUGGCGGCAUGCCUAACACAUGCAAGUCGAACGAGACCUUCGGGUCUAGUGGCGCACGGGUGCGUCACGCGUGGGAACCUGCCCUUAGGUUCGGAAUAACCUCCUGAAAGGGGUGCUAAUACCGGAUAAUGUCUUCGGACCAAAGCUUUAUCGCCUUUGGAUGGGCCCGCAUUGGAUUAGCUAGUUGGUAGGGUAAAAGCAUACCAAGGCGACGAUCCAUAGCUGGUCUGAGAGGAUGGUGAGCCACACUGGGACUGAGACACGGCCCAGACUCCUACGGGAGGCAGCAGUGGGGAAUAUUGGACAAUGGGCGAAAGCCUGAUCCAGCGAUGCCGCGUGAGUGAUGAAGGCCUUAGAGUUGUAAAGCUCUUUUACCCGGGAUGUUAAUGACGGUACCGGGAGAAUAAGCUCCGGCUAACUCCGUG